RNAcentral lists this ribosomal RNA (253 nucleotides) under uncultured bacterium. Its description in RNAcentral is "partial 16S ribosomal RNA". It matches the Rfam family "Bacterial small subunit ribosomal RNA", at positions 524 to 776 of the family's 1533-position model. The record is from RNAcentral.
UACGAAGGGGGCUAGCGUUGCUCGGAAUCACUGGGCGUAAAGGGUGCGUAGGCGGCUUUCUAAGUCGGGGGUGAAAUCCUGGAGCUCAACUCCAGAACUGCCUUCGAUACUGGAAAGCUCGAGUCCGGGAGAGGUGAGUGGAACUGCGAGUGUAGAGGUGAAAUUCGUAGAUAUUCGCAAGAACACCAGUGGCGAAGGCGGCUCACUGGCCCGGUACUGACGCUGAGGUGCGAAAGCGUGGGGAGCAAACAGG